RNAcentral lists this long non-coding RNA (5441 nucleotides) under Manihot esculenta (cassava). RNAcentral's name for it is "long non-coding RNA (MESC_LNC013172)". The record is from RNAcentral. Lineage: Eukaryota; Viridiplantae; Streptophyta; Magnoliopsida; Malpighiales; Euphorbiaceae.
GCGGACGAAAGACGAAUGAAACCACCUUUAGUAGCAGAGGAGCUGACCAUAGGCAAUUACUAUUGUGACCAAAGGAUAAGACUCUUUUUCUAUUCUAAAUGAAAGUAAAUCAAGUCAAUCAAAUCCACUUUUUGAAGUUCUUCGGUUAAGUCAGUCAUUGAAGAUAACUCGUACAAGCCAUUGUCAUAGGAACUCUCAAUCCCUAAGCCAUCCAUCUACCGGCACAACAGGAAAGGUAGGAUACUUUCACCGUAACCCGCGAACGGCCAAAGCCCCAAGGAACCAUAGCUUCACAAAGCUGAUGUUAGCGCUCAAACCAACCUUAUGCCAUUAAUUAAAGACAGCCCUUGCGCUUCAGAUUAAGAUAGAAAGGGAAGUUUCGUCAGCCAAACGCAGGAUAAUCUUAUGAAUAAACUCCAAUCUAGGCGGAUUACUCCACUCCACACUCUUAUCCCCAAGCUCCUAGCUAAGCUGAUGUAUUUGUUUAGUUUACGGAUCGCUUUCCUUUCCAGAAAUGUAUGUUAGCAGGUCGUUCGCCCGAGUUUUAUUUAGUUUUUUUUUAUUACCCUUCCAGAUUGUUCGUCACGGGAAAGAUCCCCGGAGUUAGAGUGAGAGGAGCAUCAUUUCAUUGAUAAUGCUGCAGAGGACAAAAGGAAUUCAAUAAAAGUUUCCAUCUUCCUAGGAUACAGACAAGGAUGCUAAAGAAGGUUUUCUGCCAGCGACUACGGCAUCUCCCGCUAUUACUUUAAAUGAUUCCGUGGGGCCGGCUUGAAAGCAGAGAAUCGAAGACUGAUUUUUGACCCAAUUCCCGACUUGAUGUUUUGGACCUUUUUGCCUUUCAUCUUUUAGAUGCUAUCUCUAUCUCUUCUUACCAUAAAGAAGGGCUGGCUAACUGAACUCACUUGAAAGAGUUAAUCAUCUUACUAAAGCAUGGUAUCAAAGAGGGAUAGAAUCCAUCUAUUCGGCAAAGAACCAUCCUUUCCCUAAGGCAGGAAAGCAAGUAAGCAAAGGCAACAUAAAGUCUUCUCUUGUUAGGAAGAGGUGUAGGAGCUUCGGCUAUGCAAGACCUUGCUUUUUACCUCUCGUACUCUUCUCUUAAUGGGAGGACUAGGAAGAAGAGUAGGAGUUGAACGGUUAGCUCUGCGAGCCUGGCUUUGUCAUUAUACGAGGAUGAACUGGCACAUAAGGUGCGUAGCGCGGCUCUCUGGUCCACUAGUAGUAGGGACUUGAAGACCGGUACAAGAGGAAAGAGGUUACCAAUCUUCUCUGCUUAAUCAGUCUCUUCUGGUCUCUUCGCUCGAAAGCUAUGACCUGCCCCCCGGAAUGAAAGGAAUAAGAGAUUAAGGACACUUUUAGUUUUAGUGAGGGAGGUACUGGCCGUAGCGCCCGAACGGUCAGGAAAGAGCUAGUUUCAAGUCAGGAAAGAGAAGAUUUUUAUCCCCAAGAGCUGAUUCGAUAACAGUAACACCAGUUACGCUCACAGCAGGUAGGCAAAAGCAAACAACAGAUAUGGCUAAAGCACCGGUAAGACCAAGAACAGAAAUGACUUCUAUUCUAUUAGAUAGAAUUAAGAAUUUCUUGCUUUCGCAUAUCCGCUGCUCAGGCCGUGAAAGGACUACAACGGGGCCACUUUCCUUUCCUAGUUGGCUAUGAGUCAGAUUAAAAGAUUCCCCGCAUCCGAGAAUAGUCCUUACUUUCCUGAUGUCUCAGCUUCUGUCGUGCAAAGAAUAAAAGGAUUUCUCGGCCUAUUCUAGAUUAGUUUCAAUAUCUCCUUUGUCGAGUCGACUGUUCGUGGCAUGGUUGGAUCGCUUUCCCUUUGCUUCGGUUGACCUAUGUUCUUUCUUUCCUCUUGAUGCGUGGAUGCUGCAUUGCCGGUCUUACUUACCCUCCUUACCUGAUUCCUAUCACUUUCCUUGUGAUGUCUUAUCGCCUUAUCCGCAGUUGGUGCUUUAGUUAUUUUGAUUUUAGUAAGGGCUAAAAGGCGUAAGCGGUCUUAGCAAGUCCAUUCCUUUCCCGCUUAGCUCUGAAGCAGGCAAUCUCACAUCAGGAAGAGCCUCUCUCUACGGUACCCUUCUGCGAUCACUAAACGACUUUCUGGGUUCUGGAUCAAAAGUGAUAGCUGCUAUUGAAUGAGUUCUUAGAGAAGCUGCUCUUAGCGCCCGCUGCUCGUCAGGCAGCUCGAGACCUUACCUUAUUACUUUCCCGGCUUUCUGUCUGUCUCUACUCUCUUCCUUCCUGCUGUCUUGGUGAAGACUGUAGUAGUGGUAUCGGUUGAUUGAAUAUAUAUAUAUCUUUCCAUUCCACUUGAGUAGACAGAAGAGAUAGGAGUGCGAUUGAGAACAGUCGUUUUUCUUUUCACGUAAAUAAACAGAAAGAAAGAGUAAACUCCAAAAAUGGCAGAAUGGAAGCGAGAUUGGAUUCACGUAUAUAAACUACAAUUACAGUUUCUUCCCUUUCUCUUAGGGAAUCUCGACUUUCCUUUCUUGCCUGGCAACUUCCUGGUAUGACUAGACAGUCUUGUCUGCUUGUUUGCAGUGGAGUGUCCUCCGGUUUAGAGAAUUCAGGGCGAACUCUUGUCAUGCGGAUCGGAUAUCCAAUCCAGAUAAAGAAAGAUAGCAGGUUAGAAAAAGCAGUUUGAGAAUGUCUUGUUUGAAGAGGGCAAGUGAUUGAGUUAUUUAGCAAGGGAGAACCACCAGGCAAUUGAGAGAUUGUCUCGAUUCUCCAAUCGUUUCGGAAUGCAUGUAAAAGUGAAACAGAGAUCUUCGGAGAUAUGAUAGUUUCUGUCGAACUCGGUCACUUUCCCAAGUAGACAGGGAAGCGAUUCCAGCCAUCAUGGAGUUGGAUUCCGUGUAUGAAAGAAAGCCUUUCAAAAAGUAAGAUGAGGAAUCAAAGCUUCUGAAAGAAGAGAUAAGAGCAGUUACGCUUUUUUCAAAUCCCGGAAAAGCAGCUAAGAGCCUUUUAAUAGCGCAGCGGAUCUUGCUAACAUUAGAGACUCUACUUAGUGAGUUGCCUACCCUCGCUGGUGGACUAGUUUAGUUAGAGGAUGGGACGAUAGAGCUCAAAUCAAUCGAAUACCGUUCGUGACCUGACCCAGAGCCACUAGGAUCAGUCGGUAAGUCUCAUCCCGUGCUUGGACUUGGGCACGAAAGGAUAGCUAUUCCUUGCAUCGUUAAGAGUUAUGGCUUACUUCUAGGCUUUCGGGGAAGGGAAUGUCAUUGUUCUUUAUUCUAUACUUGAGCUAUUCUCGUUCUAACGACAGAAGCUGAUUCAAGCAUUCGUUCCGAGUCGCCAAGAGACAGAAGAGCUUAUUUCAAGCAUUCCCCUUGAGGCGGGAAAACUCCUUAAUCAUUUAACUGGGUAUGAGAACUCCUCCCUUAUAGUUAUAGUAGAAAUUCUUCCAAGAACGGAUUCUUCUUAAUGUUGUUGAUUUGAUAACAUCUGCUGCUGAUUUCAAUAGCCAAGUCAAGCUUUCCAGCAGGCGAGACAGAUGCCGAUUCUACCUCUGCCAACUCCCUCUUUAUAGCAGGAUUUUAUCCAUCAAUGGCAGCUCGAUUGCCACGUGAAAGCUCUAAGUCAAGAAGUCAAGCCAGCAAGAAAGUCCGAAAGUAAGAAGGUACGGUUUCAUCAUCCUAAGCUACCUCACCGCACUCAGUCCAGUCUAUGGGCCCUUAGCCCAAGGAUAGAGACAGGGCUAAUGCUUCGAUCAUACUAGAUUAUGACCCGAGGCUUACCGAACUACCUUUGCCCUAACUCAGAGAGAGAAGGCCGCUCAAGCAGAAUCAGAAUACGACUUUCGCUAAACAAGAGCUCUUUACUGCUAAGCUGAUCACAACUUCACAUUCAACAACAGCAAGAAGACGACUCUAGCCCGCUGAAAGCUUUGAACAUUCGCUUUUCUCGGGUUCCUAGCCCAAAGGUUCUAGGGUUCGAGAGAGAAUUCCUACUAGUUGGAAGGGAAGAAGGUAAUCAAAUCAGUAGAAUGCUGCUUUCCGUACUAUCGGUUGUUCACAUUCAAGCAUGAGUUAGUUCAGAGGCGGCAAGGGGAAUCAGAGAAAGGGCAGUUUAGUCAACAAUCAUGACCAUGGGAACAUUUGUUCGCUUUCUAGGUACCCCCGGAUCUACUAGUCAUCGCCUUUGAGCUGGGAAAAGCAUUUAUCUGGAGUUGGCUAUUCCUGAUUCAGCAAAGGAAAGAAGCCUUGAUCCCAAGACUAGCUGCGGAUUGGAUUCUUCCUUUUAUCCGGACUGACUCUAAUCGUGAUUUUUACUAUAUUAUGCUCCCUCUGUCGCAAUAGAAAUCGAGAAUGGAGGUGACUUCGCUACCUUUCUUGGUGAAGAAUAUUAAUUUCUUUCCAGCUUUGGUCACAUAGGCUUGAAUCACUCCGGGGAAAGAUACUUGGAUAUUCUACGAUCGGACUUUGCCGGGCAUGAGCUACUCUCUUCUAGCCUUCCUCUAACAGAUUCAAUGGCAUCGCUUAUUCUUUUUGUUUCAAGCAUGAGUGACCAGUCGAUUCUCUAAUGUUGAUAUAGCAGUCAACCAUCAAGAAAUCAUCAACUAUUUAACCGGGGAUGAGCUCUAUGGCUAAUUCGUUCGGCUAUUCUAUUAAGUAAGGAUCGACUUAAGCUUAAGCUAGAGCAGCUCCUUCUAUCACAUCGGAUUCUAGUAAAGAGAUGGGCCUUCUCGUCUGAUCUCUGCAUCAACAGGAAUGCGGGAAAAGCUUCUUCUCAAGCAUCAACAUCAAAGAGCUUAUUCGAUGCCAUCUUCAUUCCUUCCCUAAGACAGGGGUUAUUCCCGUUCAGUCUAAUCCUCUUCUCAUGUGCAAAGGCUUAUCGAUCCUUUUUGAGUCAGAUGUGGCAUUGCUGAUUCGAGAGCAGUUGUCCUUUCUACUACAAUUAUCCCUGCUCUUCGCCCCCCGCCCCGAAACUGACGCACGCUUAACGGAAGACGUGAGGAGUUAUUCUGAAAUGGGACUUUUCAUUAGACGAUUCUUCUCCUGCUACAUUAGACUCCGAUGAAAGGGCGAGACGAAGAUGUAAUUUGAGUGAGUUUUUGUUUAUCAAAAGUCUCAAUUCCGGAUUUCUAUAUGUAUGAGAUCAACUCGACUUUCGCACUUCCGAUCAACUGAAGCGGGCCACGCUAUAGUGUCAGGUGUCUUUCCCACAGCAAGAGCAAUACCCUCAUGCAGCUUCCCUUUCUUUCCCUAGCUAUCCGAGCAAGUCAAACCAGAUAUUCCCCACUCCUUUCUAAGCAUAGGUGCGAAGCGAAAAAGAACCGAUCAACACCAACAGUAUCAACCAAUCGGCGCCUGCCGCCGCCCAGUAAAAAGAACUCAAGAAGAAGCAAAACAGAGGGGUCCCUCCAAAGUACGCCCUCUAACCGACAAGUGACAAGUGAUUCAAUUCCUCCAACCGAAAUGUUUCCAACCGAUCGAUAUGUUGUUCCC